UUGCCUACGGGAGGCAGCAGUGGGGAAUAUUGCACAAUGGGGGAAACCCUGAUGCAGCAACGCCGCGUGAGUGAAGAAGUAUUUCGGUAUGUAAAGCUCUCUCAGCAGGGAAGAAGAAAGACGGUACCUGACUAAGAAGCCCCGGCUAACUACGUGCCAGCAGCCGAGGUACUACGUAGGGGGCAAGCGUUAUCCGGAUUUACUGGGUGUAAAGGGAGCGUAGACGGCAUAGCAAGUCUGAAGUGAAAGCCCGUGGCUCAAC
Molecule: ribosomal RNA, 262 nt
Filed under: uncultured bacterium
Lineage: Bacteria
Description: partial 16S ribosomal RNA
Rfam family: Bacterial small subunit ribosomal RNA
Source: RNAcentral